Hermetia illucens (black soldier fly) is the source of this 339-nucleotide long non-coding RNA. RefSeq lists it as uncharacterized. The transcript is spliced from 2 exons. Lineage: Eukaryota; Metazoa; Arthropoda; Insecta; Diptera; Stratiomyidae. The record is from RefSeq and is a predicted model, not a curated record.
UUCGAAUUCUUUCGAAAAAUCUGGAAUAUAUUUUUACUUGUGUAGUAUAGUACACUCACUCAAUUGCAUGCAUGGAAAAAUAGAAUGAAACUACCACUAUAGCAUCCGGAUAUUGCGUAUAUAUCGAAGAUUAGAAAACUUUGGAGAAGAAUGGAAAUUUCGCAAAAAUUAAAAUUACGCCAUAGAAUAUAACAUAUAGAUCAAACUACAUCUAACACUCAGAAAUCAGAUAGGGUUUCAAGUCACUGGAACAAUCAUCGUUCUCAGAAGGUAGGAUGAACCUGUAUUAUCCGUUUCAGGGAAAAAAGAUCUUGAAUAUAAGUUGGAAAGGAACUUUCU